RNAcentral lists this ribosomal RNA (816 nucleotides) under uncultured bacterium. RNAcentral's name for it is "partial 16S ribosomal RNA". It matches the Rfam family "Bacterial small subunit ribosomal RNA", at positions 8 to 796 of the family's 1533-position model. The record is from RNAcentral.
AGAGUUUGAUCCUGGCUCAGAAUGAACGCUGGCGGCGUGCUUAACACAUGCAAGUCGUACGAGAAAUCCUURGCUUGCYAGGGAGAGUAAAGUGGCGCACGGGUGAGUAUCGCGUGGGUAAUCUACCCUUGAAUUCAGGAUAACACUUCGAAAGGGGUGCUAAUACUGGAUAAYAUCCWUUUGGUUYAGGCYKWAWGGAUCAAAGAUAGCCUCUACAUGUAAGCUAUUGUUUAGGGAUGAGCCCGCGUACCAUUAGCUAGUUGGUGGGGUAAGAGCCUACCAAGGCAACGAUGGUUAGCUGGUCUGAGAGGAUGAUCAGCCACACUGGAACUGRAACACGGUCCAGACUCCUACGGGAGGCAGCAGUGAGGAAUUUUGCGCAAUGGGGGAAACCCUGACGCAGCAACGCCGCGUGAGUGAAGAAGGCUUUCGGGUCGUAAAGCUCUGUCAAGAGGGAAGAAAGUGGAAGGYGGUAAUACYRUUUUUUAUUGACGGUACCUCUGAAGGAAGCACCGGCUAACUCCGUGCCAGCAGCCGCGGUAAUACGGGGGGUGCAAGCGUUAUUCGGAUUUAUUGGGCGUAAAGMGCGYGUAGGCGGUUUWWYAAGUCWGAUGUGAAAGCCCUGGGCUCAACCCRGGAAGUGCAUUGGAUACUGUMAGACUUGAAUACGGGAGAGGGYAGUGGAAUUCCUAGUGUAGGAGUGAAAUCCGUAGAUAUUAGGAGGAACACCGGUGGCGAAGGCGGCURCCUGGACCGAUAUUGACGCUGAGACGCGAAAGCGUGGGUAGCAAACAGGAUUAGAUACCCUGGUAGUCC